This is a small nuclear RNA of Sphaeramia orbicularis (orbiculate cardinalfish), 137 nucleotides long. Its record names the gene U4. It matches the Rfam family "U4 spliceosomal RNA". From Rfam's summary of the family: U4 small nuclear RNA (U4 snRNA) is a component of the major U2-dependent spliceosome. The structure of U4 snRNA from yeast and human has been reported. U4 snRNA presents a k-turn RNA motif in the 5p-SL related to recognition of Snu13 protein. The record is from Ensembl. Lineage: Eukaryota; Metazoa; Chordata; Actinopteri; Kurtiformes; Apogonidae.
UUUAUAAAGUUUGGAGAAAAAAGUCUAUGAGGUUUAUCCAAGGUGUGAUUAUUGCUAGUUGAAAACUUUAUCCAAUACCCCGACUUGACGACUUGACACAUAGUCGGAGAUGGCAAUUUUGAUGGUCUCUAAGGAGA